AUGUCCCCAAAAUGUCCCCAAAAUCCCCCCAAAAUCCCAAAAUGUCCCAAAAUGUCCCAAAAUGUCCCCAAAAUGUCCGUCCCCAAGUCCCCCCAAAUUCCCCCCAAAUCCCAAAAUGUCCCAAAAUCCCCAAAAUCCCAAAAUGUCCCCAAAAUCCCAAAAUGUCCCCAAAAUCCCCCCAAAAUCCCCAAAUCCCCCCAAACUUCCCCAAAAUGUCCCCAAAUCCCCCUAAAUGUCCCAAAAUGUCCCCAAAUCCCCCCCGAAUCUCCCCCAAAUUUCCCCAAAUAUCCCCAAAAUCCCCAAAUCCCCCCAAAAUCCACAAAUCCCCCCAAAAUGUCCUCAAAUGUCCCCAAAUCCUCCAAGAAUCCCCUCAAAUUUUCCCAAAUGUCCCAAAAAUGUCCCAAAAUGUCCCCAAAUGACCCCAAAUUCCCCAAAUUUCCCCAAAACGUCCCCAAAACGUCCCCAAAAUCCCCAAACCCCCCCAAAAUCCCCAAAUCCCCCCGAAUCCCCCCAAAUGUCUCCAAAAUCCCAAAAUCCCCCCAAUUCUCCCCAAAAUGUCCCCAAAUGUCCCCAAAAUGUCCCAAAAUGUCCCCAAAUCCCCCCAAAUCCCCCCAAAUCCCCCAACCCCCCCAAAAUCCCCUUAAAUUUCGCCAAAAUGUCCCCAAAUUCCCACGAAAUCCCCCACAAAAUCCCCAAAUCCCCCCAAAAUUUCCCCAAAUCCCCCCAAACGACCCCAAAUUUCCCAAAAUGUCCCAAAAUCCCCCCAAAAUCCCCAAACUCCCCCAAAAAUCCCCCCCAAAAUCCCAAAAUUUCCCUAAAAUCCCCAAAUUCCCCCAAAAUCCACAAAUCCCCCCAAAUUUCCCCAAAAUGUCCCAAAAUCCCCCAAAUUCCCCGUCCCCGACUCACCCGGGUGGGGGAGGGGCCGGCGGGGGGGUGAGACCCCCGGGGGGGGGAGGGGCAGUGGGGGGAGGGGCUGUGGGGGGAGGGGGAGGGGCGUUCGCUGCCCCUCCCCCCCCCGGGCCGGGCGGGGGUCCCGGGCUGGAACCUGCGGGGGGGGAGGGGCGGAAAUUGGGGGGGGGGGAGGGGCUGAAUCCCCUCCCCCACCCCCCCAAAAAUGGGGAGGGGUCACGGGAAUUUGGGGAGGGUCUUUGGGUGGGGGAGGGGUCACGGGAAUUUGGGGAGGGGUCAUAG
This 1191-nucleotide long non-coding RNA is filed under the name Taeniopygia guttata (zebra finch). Its description in RNAcentral is "lncRNA (ENSTGUG00000021096.1)". Lineage: Eukaryota; Metazoa; Chordata; Aves; Passeriformes; Estrildidae. The record is from RNAcentral.